GUCCCUAUCGAUUAGUGGUCAAAUCAUCGUGUUGUGGUUCUAGACAUGCACCGCGAAGCCGGGAGCUCGAAUCUCCCUAGGGACA
Molecule: non-coding RNA, 85 nt
Organism: Collybiopsis luxurians FD-317 M1
Lineage: Eukaryota; Fungi; Basidiomycota; Agaricomycetes; Agaricales; Omphalotaceae
Source: the annotation of a GenBank genome assembly